RNAcentral lists this ribosomal RNA (1372 nucleotides) under uncultured bacterium. RNAcentral describes it as "bacterial SSU rRNA". It matches the Rfam family "Bacterial small subunit ribosomal RNA", at positions 28 to 1381 of the family's 1533-position model. The record is from RNAcentral.
GAUGAACGCUGGCGGCGUGCCUAAUACAUGCAAGUCGAGCGAACGGACGAGAAGCUUGCUUCUCUGAUGUUAGCGGCGGACGGGUGAGUAACACGUGGAUAACCUACCUAUAAGACUGGGAUAACUUCGGGAAACCGGAGCUAAUACCGGAUAAUAUUUUGAACCGCAUGGUUCAAAAGUGAAAGACGGUCUUGCUGUCACUUAUAGAUGGAUCCGCGCUGCAUUAGCUAGUUGGUAAGGUAACGGCUUACCAAGGCAACGAUGCAUAGCCGACCUGAGAGGGUGAUCGGCCACACUGGAACUGAGACACGGUCCAGACUCCUACGGGAGGCAGCAGUAGGGAAUCUUCCGCAAUGGGCGAAAGCCUGACGGAGCAACGCCGCGUGAGUGAUGAAGGUCUUCGGAUCGUAAAACUCUGUUAUUAGGGAAGAACAUAUGUGUAAGUAACUGUGCACAUCUUGACGGUACCUAAUCAGAAAGCCACGGCUAACUACGUGCCAGCAGCCGCGGUAAUACGUAGGUGGCAAGCGUUAUCCGGAAUUAUUGGGCGUAAAGCGCGCGUAGGCGGUUUUUUAAGUCUGAUGUGAAAGCCCACGGCUCAACCGUGGAGGGUCAUUGGAAACUGGAAAACUUGAGUGCAGAAGAGGAAAGUGGAAUUCCAUGUGUAGCGGUGAAAUGCGCAGAGAUAUGGAGGAACACCAGUGGUGAAGGCGACUUUCUGGUCUGUAACUGACGCUGAUGUGCGAAAGCGUGGGGAUCAAACAGGAUUAGAUACCCUGGUAGUCCACGCCGUAAACGAUGAGUGCUAAGUGUUAGGGGGUUUCCGCCCCUUAGUGCUGCAGCUAACGCAUUAAGCACUCCGCCUGGGGAGUACGACCGCAAGGUUGAAACUCAAAGGAAUUGACGGGGACCCGCACAAGCGGUGGAGCAUGUGGUUUAAUUCGAAGCAACGCGAAGAACCUUACCAAAUCUUGACAUCCUUUGACAACUCUAGAGAUAGAGCUUUCCCCUUCGGGGGACAAAGUGACAGGUGGUGCAUGGUUGUCGUCAGCUCGUGUCGUGAGAUGUUGGGUUAAGUCCCGCAACGAGCGCAACCCUUAAGCUUAGUUGCCAUCAUUAAGUUGGGCACUCUAAGUUGACUGCCGGUGACAAACCGGAGGAAGGUGGGGAUGACGUCAAAUCAUCAUGCCCCUUAUGAUUUGGGCUACACACGUGCUACAAUGGACAAUACAAAGGGCAGCGAAACCGCGAGGUCAAGCAAAUCCCAUAAAGUUGUUCUCAGUUCGGAUUGUAGUCUGCAACUCGACUACAUGAAGCUGGAAUCGCUAGUAAUCGUAGAUCAGCAUGCUACGGUGAAUACGUUCCCGGGUCU